UUUUCGUACCACGGCGAGGCCGGAUUCCUGUUUUAUCAUGAAUAUUCAUUAGGCAGGGUCGGGGAAAGUCUCGAUUCUCUUAAAUAUUCAUAUCGAGGUGGGAAUGCACGACGCGCGCUAUACUCGCACAAAGUGAGAAGAUUUAGUUCACGGAGAAUGCAUAUGGAUUGAAACUGAAGAGCUGGAAGGAGGACAUUACAACAUCUCUUAUAUUUGCAAGAUGAAGCAGAAAGUCCCAUGCAGGAUGAUGCCUCUCUACAGUGGAUGAUGAAGGCAUUCUGGUUUGCAAACUCAGGAGAGGAACAAAGAACAGAUGUUGACGGGAUCAUAUCUAGAGAUGCGGGCCUACUACACUUCAUACGAGCAAGUGUGCUAAUAUACAUGAAGGUACCCCCAAUAAAUUUUUGUGGAACAAAUGUCAUGGAGAAAAUUAUAGAUCUGAAACAGAUAUUUUUCAUUGUCAGUUGACUUGUAAAAGAAUAAUUGACUUAAUAUCACAAUUGUAAUUUAGAUUAAAAAUUAAAUGUCAAUAUAGAUGAAAUAUAAGUCUACAUUACGUAUGUUUCAGUAGCAUUAUUUCCAGUACAUUCGCUGGUCAAAGUUGUUUGGUCAUUUUAUGUCCCAUACUUAACCGAGUAUUAUUCAAUUACCGGUAUGAGCACGAGUUGUAUUACAUUGUAUUACUUAUUUCAUACCUUGUCUGAUCCGAGCUCCAGCAGGCCUAUCGUCUUAAUGGGAUCAUCAGUAAUAAUUUAAGAUGCGGUCAGUAUUUAAACUAGUCUUGUACAAAAAAUAGUUUAGGUUUGCCCACUAGAACCCCAAGUGAAUUUCAGUCCUUCCUUUUUCUGAGCAGGUAUCAGGGUGUAUGUUAUUAGUCAUUGUUGAUUUUUUUAUAUCUUAUUUCAUUUUUCCAUUCAACAGACUUGGGUUAUAUUUUUUUCUGAAAACUAGGCUACAACUUUAGUGAUGGAUGCAGAAGAUAUCUACACGAGACUACGUCUUAAAGAUGCCACCCUCAUAUAAUGAAAGAGGACAAUAGAGAUGGGUUUAAACUGGAAUAUUUACAUGAUAUUUAUUUGUUAUUUGUAUUAUA
Molecule: long non-coding RNA, 1093 nt
Organism: Strongylocentrotus purpuratus (purple sea urchin)
Lineage: Eukaryota; Metazoa; Echinodermata; Echinoidea; Camarodonta; Strongylocentrotidae
Exons: 3
Source: RefSeq, a predicted model, not a curated record